GACGAACGCUGGCGGCAUGUGUAAUACAUGCAAGUCGAACGCACGAAGUUGAAAAGCUUGCUUUUCGACCAAGUGAGUGGCGGACGGGUGAGUAACACGUGGGUAACCUGCCCAUAAGAGGGGGAUAACAUUCGGAAACGGAUGCUAAUACCGCAUAUUUCAAGUGACCGCAUGGUYGCUUGAUGAAAGGUGGCUUCGGCUACCACUUAUGGAUGGACCCGCGGUGCAUUAGUUAGUUGGUGAGGUAAUGGCUCACCAAGACCAUGAUGCAUAGCCGACCUGAGAGGGUGAUCGGCCACACUGGGACUGAGACACGGCCCAGACUCCUACGGGAGGCAGCAGUAGGGAAUCUUCCGCAAUGGACGAAAGUCUGACGGAGCAAUGCCGCGUGAGUGAAGAAGGUUUUCGGAUCGUAAAACUCUGUUGUUAGAGAAGAACAAGGAUGAGAGUAACUGCUCAUCCCCUGACGGUAUCUAACCAGAAAGCCACGGCUAACUACGUGCCAGCAGCCGCGGUAAUACGUAGGUGGCAAGCGUUGUCCGGAUUUAUUGGGCGUAAAGCGAGCGCAGGCGGUUCUUUAAGUCUGAUGUGAAAGCCCCCGGCUCAACCGGGGAGGGUCAUUGGAAACUGGAGAACUUGAGUGCAGAAGAGGAGAGUGGAAUUCCAUGUGUAGCGGUGAAAUGCGUAGAUAUAUGGAGGAACACCAGUGGCGAAGGCGACUCUCUGGUCUGUAACUGACGCUGAGGCUCGAAAGCGUGGGGAGCAAACAGGAU
Molecule: ribosomal RNA, 773 nt
Filed under: Carnobacterium divergens
Lineage: Bacteria; Bacillati; Bacillota; Bacilli; Lactobacillales; Carnobacteriaceae
Description: bacterial SSU rRNA
Rfam family: Bacterial small subunit ribosomal RNA
Source: RNAcentral